Molecule: long non-coding RNA, 1378 nt
Filed under: Polistes canadensis
Lineage: Eukaryota; Metazoa; Arthropoda; Insecta; Hymenoptera; Vespidae
Description: uncharacterized LOC106786262, transcript variant X1
Source: RNAcentral
GGAUGUGUAUUGCACAAGAAAGGAAGGAAGGAAGGAAGCGAACGAUAAUGAUUUCCUAAUCACGUACUAUACACACAGCAGUUUCCUACCUUGUUGUUAUUUUCAAAUCACGUAGACUCACGUAAAAACAUACAAAUCUAUAAAUGUCGUAGAUCAUCGCAAGUACAUCGCACUCGUAUUCUUCCGUUUUGUGAUUAAACGCUGAUACGAAGUUUACGUAUGCGCAGCUGAGUCCGAUUAAUCGAGAAGGGAAGAACCUGGCCAUAGUCGUAGAACUCGUCGUUUAUUGAAGCAAAAGAAAUAAGAAAUAAAAGGAAAAGAUUAGAAAAAAAUGUAAAAGAAACAUGUCGUUGACAUGUCGUUAGAUCAGAAAAUUGAAAACCAUCAUCCUAGUUUUUGGUCACACUCUUAUCGUAAUAUUUUCCAUGGGGAAAAAAUGAACAUUCUCUUUCUCUUUUCGAUGAAUUUUCUAUGCGUUUCUUCUUAUCCAUCUUAGAAUUGAUAACGUAUAUUUUUUGGGAGAAUCUCGAAGAAGAUACACGCAAAGUGUGUCUAUAUUCCAGACGUAAUUGGGGUAUAGUAAGAUAUUUACUAAGGACAUUUAAAUAAAAAAUAAAAAAAAACCUACUAUCGUGAUAGAUAGUACGAAUGUAUAGAACAACGAGACUAAAAGAUGUUGAAGACGUCGAUUUGGACAUGGGAUAGAUGAUAGAACCGAUGUUUAUACCAUGCCGUAGAACAGAUGAGUUAAGCAGAAUGGAUUGGACGUAUGGACUCGGGAGGACCCUCCUGAGGACUCUAUCACGGUGAACGAAUUCCUAAAACGCAAGACUGCAACUACGUCAUCGUACAGUCUUUUUUUCCCAACGUGUACGAAAAAGACUGAAAAUAUCUAUCAUCAAAAAUAUAUUUAAAUAUACGCGUGAAAUAGUUACUCCAUCUACUAAAUUAAAAAACGAUACGAAAUCAAGAAGAACAAGAAGAACAUUGUAAGAAGCCAAAAAUCAAGGAGAAGAUAAAAAAGAAAUCAUUAGAGAGGAUGUUUUGUCGAGCAGCGAAAAGACUGAUUUGAUAAAAUUCGCGUUCCGAUCUUUAUUUUCUAUUUUAUUUCCUUUUCUUUUUUUUUCAAAGUUAUUAUCGACGAGUCACAUAUCUUCUUGAGAGUUCCCCCAAGGUUCUUCAUUUUUCUUUUCAAUAUUUUUUCUUAUUUUUCUACACGUACACGUACACGUACACGUACACGUACCCCGUAUAUAUACAAACAUAUAAACAAAACUAUACAUAUUUCUCUUCCAAUCGCGUUGUCCUUGCGGCGUCGUCGUCGUCGUCGUCGUCGUCGUCGUGACGUUUUGCACUCUGAACAGGCGGGUUUUGCAAG